UUUCCUACGGGAGGCAGCAGUAGGGAAUUUUCGUCAAUGGGCGCAAGCCUGAACGAGCAAUGCCGCGUGAACGAGGAAGGUCUUCGGAUCGUAAAGUUCUGUUGAAGGGGAAAAAGAGCGGAGAGAGGAAAUGGUCUCCGAUUGAUAUUACCCUUCGAGGAAGUCACGGCUAACUACGUGCCAGCAGCCGCGGUAAUACGUAGGUGGCGAGCGUUAUCCGGAUUUAUUGGGUUUAAAGGGUGCGUAGGCGGGACGGUAAGUCAGCGGUAAAAAUGCGGAGCUCAACUCCGUCGAGCCGUUGACAC
RNAcentral lists this ribosomal RNA (305 nucleotides) under uncultured bacterium. Its description in RNAcentral is "bacterial SSU rRNA". It matches the Rfam family "Bacterial small subunit ribosomal RNA", at positions 335 to 633 of the family's 1533-position model. The record is from RNAcentral.